Molecule: ribosomal RNA, 161 nt
Filed under: uncultured bacterium
Lineage: Bacteria
Description: partial 16S ribosomal RNA
Rfam family: Bacterial small subunit ribosomal RNA
Source: RNAcentral
UGGGGAAUAUUGCACAAUGGGGGAAACCCUGAUGCAGCGACGCCGCGUGAGCGAAGAAGUAUUUCGGUAUGUAAAGCUCUAUCAGCAGGGAAGAUAAUGACGGUACCUGACUAAGAAGCCCCGGCUAACUACGUGCCAGCAGCCCGCGGUAAUCAGAUCGU